This 230-nucleotide ribosomal RNA is filed under the name uncultured bacterium. Its description in RNAcentral is "partial 16S ribosomal RNA". It matches the Rfam family "Bacterial small subunit ribosomal RNA", at positions 562 to 791 of the family's 1533-position model. The record is from RNAcentral.
AAAGGGUCCGUAGGCGGUUUGGUAAGUCAGUGGUGAAAGCCCAUCGCUUAACGAUGGAACGGCCAUUGAUACUGCCAGACUUGAAUUACUAGGAAGUAACUAGAAUAUGUAGUGUAGCGGUGAAAUGCUUAGAUAUUACAUGGAAUACCAAUUGCGAAGGCAGGUUACUACUAGUGGAUUGACGCUGAUGGACGAAAGCGUGGGGAGCGAACAGGAUUAGAUACCCUGGU